NUUAGAGCACCACCUUGACAUGGUGGGGGUCGUUGGUUCGAGUCCAAUUGAACGCACCA
RNAcentral lists this transfer RNA (59 nucleotides) under Salmonella enterica subsp. enterica serovar Enteritidis str. EC20120677. Its description in RNAcentral is "tRNA-Und (NNN) (tRNA-Und-NNN-1-1)". It matches the Rfam family "tRNA", at positions 18 to 71 of the family's 71-position model. From Rfam's summary of the family: Transfer RNA (tRNA) molecules are approximately 80 nucleotides in length. Their secondary structure includes four short double-helical elements and three loops (D, anti-codon, and T loops). Further hydrogen bonds mediate the characteristic L-shaped molecular structure. tRNAs have two regions of fundamental functional importance: the anti-codon, which is responsible for specific mRNA codon recognition, and the 3' end, to which the tRNAs corresponding amino acid is attached (by aminoacyl-tRNA synthetases). tRNAs cope with the degeneracy of the genetic code in two manners: having more than one tRNA (with a specific anti-codon) for a particular amino acid; and 'wobble' base-pairing, i.e. permitting non-standard base-pairing at the 3rd anti-codon position. The record is from RNAcentral. Lineage: Bacteria; Pseudomonadati; Pseudomonadota; Gammaproteobacteria; Enterobacterales; Enterobacteriaceae.